Molecule: long non-coding RNA, 443 nt
Filed under: Carica papaya (papaya)
Lineage: Eukaryota; Viridiplantae; Streptophyta; Magnoliopsida; Brassicales; Caricaceae
Description: long non-coding RNA (CPAP_LNC013061)
Source: RNAcentral
AAAAGCCUUAAAAAUGAUAAAUAAAAUAUUAAUUAAUUAAGAGGUGGGUGAGGGCCGGUUUGGGCAACCAUGCAGGUUGGGACGAUCGGUCUGCAUGGGUAGCACAAAGUGAGCUCGCAGGUUGGGCCUUCAUGCCGGGUGGGUUUGUGGGCCACAUGGGGCUAUUGCGAGGCAUGGAUUUGGGCCACCGCGUGUGCCCUUGCUUGUUGUUGGUUAAAUGGCCAACACACAUGUGGGCUGGUGCGCAUAUGUGGGCUUCCCCUUAUGUGCAUGUGCGCCACACUAUGCAUGGGGGAGCCUUGUUCGCACAUGAAUACAAGUCUUCCUAAGGUGCGGCAUUGGCCAGCUUUUUACCUUUGCGUUUGAUCUUUUUGGGUCGUGGUCCACUUUAGCCAUCUUGGGUUGGGCCAAAAGCUGGCUUUUCCUUUCAAUUCUUCAAGCCC